CUUUAAGCCACUCCUUUUUUGAGCCCUGACUAAAUUGUCAAUCCUUUUGUCAUCUGCAUGGGAAGCAGCUCAUGAUCACAUGACCUGUGCAGAUUCUGAAGCCCUGUCUCAGACUUGCUGAUUCAGAAUCUCUAUGGGCAGAAGGCUCAGGAAUCUGCACCAAGACCAAUGCACGUGCUGGAGUUUGUCUUUCCUUCACUGAGUUCUCAUUCAUCUCUUUAAUUUGAGAGUGGCCCACAUUGGGUAGAGACAGGAUCUCACCGUGUUGCCCAGGCUGAUCUCAAACUCCUGGGUUCAAGUAAUUCUCCUGCCUCUGCCUGCCAAAGUACUGGGAUUAUAG
This 340-nucleotide long non-coding RNA is filed under the name Homo sapiens (human). RNAcentral's name for it is "HSALNT0050429". Lineage: Eukaryota; Metazoa; Chordata; Mammalia; Primates; Hominidae. The record is from RNAcentral.